Molecule: ribosomal RNA, 453 nt
Filed under: uncultured bacterium
Lineage: Bacteria
Description: bacterial SSU rRNA
Rfam family: Bacterial small subunit ribosomal RNA
Source: RNAcentral
UACGGAAGGCAGCAGUGGGGAAUAUUGCACAAUGGGCGCAAGCCUGAUGCAGCCAUGCCGCGUGUAUGAAGAAGGCCUUCGGGUUGUAAAGUACUUUCAGUCGUGAGGAAGGUGUUAAGGUUAAUAACCUUAGCAAUUGACGUUAGCGACAGAAGAAGCACCGGCUAACUCCGUGCCAGCAGCCGCGGUAAUACGGAGGGUGCGAGCGUUAAUCGGAAUUACUGGGCGUAAAGGGCACGCAGGCGGUUAAUUAAGUUGGAUGUGAAAUCCCCGGGCUUAACCUGGGAAUGGCAUUCAAGACUGGUUAGUUAGAGUCUUGUAGAGGGGGUAGAAUUCCAUGCGUAGCGGUGAAAUGCGUAGAGAUGUAGAGGAAUACCGGUGGCGAAGGCGGCCCCUGGACAAAGACUGACGCUCAUGUGCGAAAGCGUGGGGAGCAAACAGGGAUUAGAUACC